Non-coding RNA from Taxawa tesnikishii (nom. ined.), 91 nucleotides. NCBI's taxonomy places the organism in Eukaryota, Fungi, Ascomycota, Dothideomycetes, Dothideales. The record is from the annotation of a GenBank genome assembly.
CUCCGCUUAGCUCAGCUGGAAGUAGCGUAUGACUGUAAUUGGAAGCGUUCCGAAUAUCAUAAGGUCGCCUGUUCGAUCCAGGCAGCGGAGA